GUGUCAGCCGCCGCGGUAAUACGGAGGGUGCAAGCGUUAAUCGGAAUUACUGGGCGUAAAGCGCACGCAGGCGGUCUGUCAAGUCGGAUGUGAAAUCCCCGGGCUCAACCUGGGAACUGCAUCCGAAACUGGCAGGCUAGAGUCUUGUAGAGGGGGGUAGAAUUCCAGGUGUAGCGGUGAAAUGCGUAGAGAUCUGGAGGAAUACCGGUGGCGAAGGCGGCCCCCUGGACAAAGACUGACGCUCAGGUGCGAAAGCGUGGGGAGCAAACAGGAUUAGAUACCCUGGUAGUCCACGCUGUAAACGAUGUCGACUUGGAGGUUGUUCCCUUGAGGAGUGGCUUCCGGAGCUAACGCGUUAAGUCGACCGCCUGGGGAGUACGGCCGCAAGGGUAAAACUCAAAGGAAUUGACGG
Molecule: ribosomal RNA, 412 nt
Filed under: uncultured bacterium
Lineage: Bacteria
Description: bacterial SSU rRNA
Rfam family: Bacterial small subunit ribosomal RNA
Source: RNAcentral